GACAGAGGGUGCAAACGUUGUUCGGAAUUACUGGGCGUAAAGCGCGCGUAGGCAGCAGCGUGUGUCGGGCGUGAAAUCCCACGGCUCAACCGUGGAAGUGCACUCGAAACUGCGCAGCUAGAGUCUCGGAGAGGAAGGCGGAAUGCUUGGUGUAGAGGUGAAAUUCGUAGAUAUCUGGAGGAACACCGGUGGCGAAGGCGGCAUCCUGGACCGGCAUUGACGCUGAGGCGCGAAAGCUAGGGGAGCAAACGGG
RNAcentral lists this ribosomal RNA (253 nucleotides) under uncultured bacterium. RNAcentral describes it as "partial 16S ribosomal RNA". It matches the Rfam family "Bacterial small subunit ribosomal RNA", at positions 524 to 776 of the family's 1533-position model. The record is from RNAcentral.